Long non-coding RNA from Mytilus trossulus (common blue mussel), 1322 nucleotides. RefSeq lists it as uncharacterized. The record is from RefSeq and is a predicted model, not a curated record. The transcript is spliced from 3 exons. Lineage: Eukaryota; Metazoa; Mollusca; Bivalvia; Mytilida; Mytilidae.
GUGAUGCUCUUCAAUUUAAAAACCGAUAAAGGUUGUAACCAGCUGGUAAUGUUUUGACAGAAAAAUGAACUUCUGUUGUAUAUUUGUAUACAUAAUUGAACAUUUUGAUAAGAUUUAAGAAAAGUACAUAACUUUGUGGUGUUGGGAAACUUAUUUCCCUCACCAGGAGAUUGUUGCAUACAUGUACAGGUGAUCACUUCCAGACAGAGGUAGUUACAAUACGUAUCUGUACAGGAAUGAGGAUUAUUUAUAAGACUGAAAUUAUUGUAUUAUUUGCUGGAAAUGUGGAAUAUGAGGAAUUUAAAGCCAUUCGUGAGUAGUUUUUGAUGAUUCAGCUGGACAAAUGCUGGAAAUUAUACAGUUUUCUCCCACCUUAAAACAGUACAUGGUAUAUCAUGGACACCAAAAGCAAACUAUAAAGAUCUAAAUGCCAUAAUUUUGUGCAUCUUGAAAACUAGAAAGGCGGAUCACUUUGAAGCAGAUGAUAGCGAUAGUGUUUAAAAGAAUUCUUUGCGACAGUUAUACCAGUUGGAACAGAUGAAAGAUACAUCAGAUGACAGACUUACAUAUAGAGGAGCCUAUAAUUAGAGAAAUGGAUCAACUUGAUUUUGAAGUUAACCUACUGCAUUAAUAUGAAAAUUCAUAAGUGACUGAGCUUAAAGAAAAUCACACAUGAAACUGUAACCAGUUUGGGAGACUCAUACAACAGAACAUUUCAAUACCUAUUAAUUUUUUUAUGUAUAUGUUUGACUUUUGGUAAUAUUUUGGAAGUUACUUUAGUAAUUGAGAGACUCAAUGUUGAAAAUGACAAUUUUGAAUUUGAUAGAGGACAAUUUUAAGAAUAUCAACUUAGUUGUUUAUGAAUCUUUAUUUUAGAAAAUAUUACUGGGUGUCUGAAAGAAUAUUUAAAAAUUUCUGAAACUAUUUAGAUAUUUAUCAUGUUUCAUGUGUUUAUAUAGGCAAAUAUUUAUACAUGUCAUUUAUGUUAUGCAAGGGUUUAUAUGAAUUUCUAAAAAGAUGUAUAUAUAUGUGUUGAUAAAAUAAGUUCCAAAUUAUUACAGAGUAACAGAAAAUGGGAUCAAUUUAUAUUAAAACAAAUCUGUUGAAAGGGAAUGAAAAGUCAAAAAUUGUAUUUUUUAAAAUAAUUGUGUUAACAUUUUUGUGCUAUUUAGAAAUAUGUACACAAAAAAAAUAAACUUUAAUAUAAGUAUCAAUGUAGUAUGCCCUUGUUUAUUUUUUGUUUUAUGCAGUACAUGCAUUUGAAUCUUGAUCAAAAUUUAUGGAUUGAAUUACUAAACAGAAUAAACUAAUUGUUAUGUUAA